AUUUUUUGUUUAGUAUAAGUGGUAGCUGUUUGAAUCCUUAACGCAAGUUAACUGAUUAGGCAAAAGUGAAAUCCCACUCUAAAAAUAAAAUUUAACUAAUUAAAUUGAAAGUGAAAGUUUUUUAGUUUGAUUGGGGCGAUCACCUUUUAAAUUGUAACAAAGGUCUGCAAAAGUAAGCUCAAAAUCAGUAAAAGCGAUUUUUAGAGUGUAAUAGCAUAAGCUUAUUUGACUGUAAGAUAAACAGAUCGAACAGAAAUUUUAGUUGGUUAUAGUGAUCCGAAAAUUUUGUAUGGAUAAAUUUUCGCUUACGGAAUUAAAGGUACUUUAGGGAUAACAGGCUUAUAACUUUUACGAGUUCGUAUCAAUAAAGUUGUUUGGCACCUCGAUGUCGGUUCGUCAUAUCCUAGUGCUGAAAAUUGGUGCUAAGGGUUCAGCUGUUCGCUGAUUAAAAUGGCACGUGAACUGGGUUAAAAACGCUGUAAAGCAGUUUGGUCCCUAUCUGUUUAUAUCAAAAAGAAUAAAAGAAUUUUGUUUCUAGUACGAG
This 544-nucleotide ribosomal RNA is filed under the name Tiarina fusus. RNAcentral describes it as "Tiarina fusa partial Bacterial large subunit ribosomal RNA". It matches the Rfam family "Bacterial large subunit ribosomal RNA", at positions 2129 to 2644 of the family's 2925-position model. The record is from RNAcentral. Lineage: Eukaryota; Ciliophora; Prostomatea; Prorodontida; Colepidae.